GGGAAAUUUGACAGCACGUAUACUAAAACUGGAACAAUACAGAGAAGAUUAGCAUGGCCCCUGCGCAAGGACGACACACAGAUUCGUGAAGUGCUCCAUAUUUUG
Molecule: small nuclear RNA, 105 nt
Organism: Mobula hypostoma (lesser devil ray)
Lineage: Eukaryota; Metazoa; Chordata; Chondrichthyes; Myliobatiformes; Myliobatidae
Source: RefSeq, a predicted model, not a curated record